RNAcentral lists this ribosomal RNA (425 nucleotides) under uncultured rumen bacterium. Its description in RNAcentral is "bacterial SSU rRNA". It matches the Rfam family "Bacterial small subunit ribosomal RNA", at positions 354 to 776 of the family's 1533-position model. The record is from RNAcentral.
GUGAGGAAUAUUGGACAAUGGCCGGAAGGCUGAUCCAGCCAUGCCGCGUGAAGGAUUAAGGUCCUAUGGAUUGUAAACUUCUUUUGAGUGGGAGCAAUAAGGGCGUCGAGACGUCCGAUGAGAGUACCAUUUGAAUAAGCAUCGGCUAACUCCGUGCCAGCAGCCGCGGUAAUACGGAGGAUGCGAGCGUUAUCCGGAUUUAUUGGGUUUAAAGGGUGCGUAGGCGGUUUGUCAAGUCAGCGGUGAAACGCAAGGGCUUAACCCUUGACCUGCCGUUGAAACUGAUUGACUAGAAUGCGGAUGCUGUGGGAGGAAUGUGUGGUGUAGCGGUGAAAUGCAUAGAUAUCACACAGAACACCGAUUGCGAAGGCAUCUCACAAAUCCGUGAUUGACGCUGAGGCACGAAAGUGUGGGGAUCAAACAGG